AGACAUAUAAGCGCCCACUUUCUUAUCUCGAAACAAAAACCUUUUCUUUCCCUCUUCUGAAAAUCCCCUAUUCUUUCAAUUUCAGCUCUCUGCUUUCCCUUGACUUUGCUCUUGAUUUUUCGUCCAAGCAGAAGAGGAAACAAGAAAUAAGGGUUUUGUGCUAAGUUUACUUAGAUGAUCAAAAGACUUCAGUUUUAAGCUGAUCAGACAAUUUUUCCUACUUGAAAAGCAAGAAGAUAAGACAUCGGUGCUGUGGAAGGUCCCACAUCAUGCUCCUUUACAAUUAGUGCCUCUGGAUGUCUUGCACAAAAGCUAUAGGGCCAAUUUGGAUUUAGAAAGCUCAGGUCACCUUGCUUGAAUCAAAAGCGGUGUCGUUUAACCUGUAGAUUAAAAGUGGAAGAUUUUUGUACUUUGUUUGGGCUGUGUGUACAAUUCUGAUGGCAAGCAAUACAAGUUUGGACGAGCGAAGAAAACGGACUCUUGAUGCAUUGCAAAGAAGGUUUGCUCAAGAAGAAGCAGAGCAUGAACUUCAGCAAAAGAAGAGCAAGAAAAGGGUCCAGGAGGGAAAGGAUAAAAUCCCGUCUGGCAUUAGUCAUCCCUCUACUGAUGCAUCGGCCAUUGCGGCUCCCUCGAGUUUGUCAGCUAAGAAAGGAAGCAUUUCUUUCUCGUCUCAUACAAGUAAAGAAGAAGCAAGUGAUCCGGCAUACUUUGGACUCUCCAAUAGCGUGCAAGAAAAUUUGCUUAGAGAUGGUGAUGAGAUUUCUGAUAAGCGCUCCAUAGUUGAUUAUCUAUUGCACGACCUUUUUCAACAUGGUGAUGCGGCUGACAAGUACAUGCAAGGAUCUAAAAGCAUAAAAAUUGACAAUUGGAUCCUUCUUGAUAACUUUGUCCAAAAAAGUGGAACAGCUGCUGCUGCACGAGUUCGUGCUCUACAAACACAUUCCAGAAGAUCUAAGAGGCACAUGUCUCUGAAGCAACACAAAAAGUGUGGUUCAUUUCAUUUGCCUCAACAGCUUCGCAACUUUGAACUCUUUAAGCCGAUGCAUGAAAUGUGGAAAAGCUAUAUAAGUCAGCUUCUGAAGCAUGUUGGGAAAAAUCAAUUGGCCCAAUGUCUCCUCAACGCGGAUUUACAUGGUUCUGUCAUUUUAGUUGUUGAAUGCAAAAUAGAAGCCUUACAUGGAGUUCAUGGUAUCAUGAUUUGCGAAACUGCUGAAACAUUUGGAAUAAUUACAGAAGAUAAUAAGUUUCAAGUUGUGCCCAAGAAGCUUUCUGUUUUCAUGCUCCAAGCUGAUAGUUGGAAAAUUACACUUCAUGGAGACAAACUUACUUCAAGACCUCUGGUCCCUUAAUUUGGUUACUCUUAAUUUGUUGUGGUAUGGAUUUUGAAUAAAUUCUUGAAUAAGGAUUGGAGCUGGACUUUUUAUCUUGUAAAUCGUAAUUCACGACAGAAGGAUGCAUCAAGUUGUGGUGUUUAUACAUUGAAAUUUAUACAAUGUUGGGAAAUGGGACGCGCACCCAACAUUACUAAAUCAACUCAUGCUAGGAAGUUUAUGGCCUUGGAGAUUGCAAUGAGUAAACUGGCAGACCCCUUCAAUUAUGCUUCCUUUUUGAAUGAGAAUAAAUUGGGAAAGGAGACUGAGGUCCAAGGAGGUAUGGAUGUAGAAACAGAACAUGUGCAAACUGAAAGGCCACUUGCUAGGAUAACUCGAGCUGCUUCUCGAAAGGCUUCAAAUAGCAAACUCCUAAUUCUGGACCUGAAUGGGGUGAUUUUAGCCAAAAAUUUCAAUGACAGAUAUGACUUUAAAUUCAGGCCAUAUACCCAUGAAUUUUUGAAAUUCUGCUUCUCAUGUUUUAAUGUGGCAAUUUGGUCAUCAAAACAAUGGUAUGUGUCAACCUAUAUUUUAGUUAAUUGAUUUAUAUGUUACACCUUCUUUUUUUUCCCCCUUAUUUUUCUGCAAUUCUUCUUUUUUCCCAGGCAUAAUGUUCAACGUGUAAUAAAAAAUCUGUCACAUUUUAAAUGGGAGUUUGUUUGGGUGAGACUUCAUUUGUCAUUAUCAGAAUUUGUAGAAUCAGUCUCUUAGCAAAAUUUUGCAGAAUCAGUCUCUUAUUUUUGGGUAAUGUUCCAUUGGAUACUGCUGUAUUUUGCAGAAUCAGACUCACUGCACUGUAGUCGAAACCAAAACUAAAGAAAAUUCAGAAAAAAGAUUAUGUUUAAGGAUUUGAGGAAAGUUUGGAAAGAUUUUGAGCAAUAUGGUCUGUCUAACACAUUGUUAGUCGAUGAUUCUCCAUAUAAAUCAUUCUUUAAUCCUAGAUACAAUGCCAUUUUCCCCGAAUCUUAUGCAUUUUUAAGUGAAAAGGAUAAUUAUCUGGAUCCUAAAGGAGAAUUUGCUCAGCACUUGAAGAAAUUGGCUAAAGUUGAUAACGUAGAAGAAUUCAUCAAACAAAAUCCAUUUGGUCAACCGCUCAUAAUACAAGAAAGUGACGAAUGACACUUUUACAUGAAGGCUCUUAAUGAAAGCUGAUUUGCGGAUUGAAAGCUGGGACGAAUGGCAGUGAUGAAAAUAGAGAUUAUUUCAAUGGAUUAUCUAAGGACAGCGGCUGUGAGGGAAGAUAAAGAAGUGAAGGUUCUGGGGAUGAAGGACUUGUUCAAAGUUCAGAUGUUUCAAUGGAGAGAAGCUCUUGGAGAGGAAGUGAAUGGGCAGUGAAGAGAUGAUCAGUCCGAGAGAGAGGAAAUGGUGAAUUACAGGUUUCAUCAUCAGUACCAGGUGGCCGGCAGAGCUUUUACUGAAGUUGGAUUGCUGGAGCCAGCCCAUUUAACACCUGCACAAAUUGGAGAUAUUUCAUCUGCUAGCCAACAUGACGAUGAGCCUGGCUAUAAAUACCAAAAGAACGGGUGACGGAUCCCGGAAUGGCCGGACUAUUAGGCCCCGGUUAAGGACCUAUAUUGCUUUCUUAGAAGUUAUUAAAAAUCUUAUUACAGAAAUUCUUUUUAUUCUUAUAUUGAAGUGGUGUUUAUUUCUCUCAAUAUAAAGGGCUUCUAGUUUCCUUAGAUUUCCAUAGUCAAGAGGAAGGUAAUUUAGAAGACAUCCAGCAGGAUAUCUUAAAUAACCUCUGGAAUAGCAGAAAUAGCACUGAUAAAGUUAGAAAUCUUAAUAUCUUGGCAUUUUAUUUUAACAAUCUUCCGAAACAAAGUUUUUCAUAUUAUGUAGUAGUAAAAGGAAAAACACCUGGAAUCUAUUCUAAAUGGAUUUUCGUUAUAGAAAAAAUAAAUCAUUUUCGUAAUCCUUUAUGGAAAGCAUUUCAUAGCAUACAUGAAGCACUAGAAUUCGCUAGGCAGAAUAUAGGAACAACAUUUUAUGUAGAUCCUAAGGCUAGCAUGGAUAGCAUGAGGGCUCCAGUAUAUCAAAAUACAGAUGCCCCUAGUAGCAGUAGAAAUUAUUAAUAUGCAUUAGAAAAAGAUAACACAAAUAGAAUAGAAUUUUGUAGACAUUGCAAGAGCAUGGAACAAGCUAUUAGAAGCUUAAAUUUAAAGUGUAGAAAUUUUGAAGAAGAAGACUUUUCUCAAAAAGAAAAAAUAAAAUCCUUAACUGAACAACUUAAAGAAAUGUAUAAGAUCUCAAAUUCACAAGGAGAUACUAUUCUCUCACAAAUUUCUGAGAUUGGGGAGCUCAAAGGAAGGCUGUCUUAUACAGCAUCUCAUAUGGCCAGUUCUUCAUCCGGCCCAAUAAAAUAGCCAAUUUUUGUAAAAGAAAAGCUCAUUUCAGAAAGACCUUUUGAAUUUCUUAAAUCCAGAAUAUUUUUUAAACCAUAUCACCUACUUAGUUUCCUCCCUUUACAUAUCCGAGAAAUUAUUAGCCAAAAAGCCCAAGCCCAAUAUUAUUCAAAUGUCAUCAAGAAUUGGAAAAAUCACUUCCAAUGUCAUUAGUCCGAGAAUUCAAAAUCAAAUGGUGGAUAGGAUUCAAUCAAGAAUUUUGUGACCAAAAGAAUAUAUUAAGAUUCCUAGAGACUGGAGAAAAACUCAAAUGAACCAAUCCAAAUCAGCAGUCAACCAAAGGAGUCAAUUUCCCAACUACUCCACAGAAGAAAGAAAAAGAAAAAAGUUGCUCAACAUCAGAAACAACGGCAAAUGAAUUUUUUAUGAAGAAGAUGAUGCAAAAUCCGGAGAUGCUCAAAGAAUAUCUAAAUUAUUUGCAAAAUCAAGACAAGAAAGAAGAAGACAAAAAAGAUGAGUCAGCUGGAUUGUCAUCAGAAUCAACUUUUGAUCCAUUUUGUGGUCCUUGUGCUCAAGACCCGACGGGCUUUUGAUAAAGUUGUCGGCCAAUUUCCAAGAAGAUAAGAUAAGAAUAUCAAAAGAACCAAUCAAAAGAAGAUAAGGUGUCGGUAGAAAAAGCAAAUGAAAUUCAAAUGAAAGUGUCGGCAAUCAAAUGAAGAUGAAAUUCAAAGACGGAAGUCUUUAUAAAUAGAACUCAAAAUCAUUUGUGGGGGACAUCGAGUUUUGAGUCAUCUGAAAAUCUCUCUGUAAACCCCUACCUUCUCAGCUUUUAUAUUUCUUUGUAUGCUCUUUUAUUCAAGAAGAUCAAUAACAAUUCGAAGUUUGAUUUCAUCUCA
Non-coding RNA from Coffea arabica (coffee), 4608 nucleotides. Lineage: Eukaryota; Viridiplantae; Streptophyta; Magnoliopsida; Gentianales; Rubiaceae. The record is from RefSeq and is a predicted model, not a curated record.